GAUGAAGAACGCAGCGAAAUGCGAUAAGUAAUGUGAAUUGCAGAAUUCAGUGAAUCAUCGAAUCUCUGAACGCACAUUGCGCCCGGCAGUAAUCUGCCGGGCAUGCCUGUCCGAGCGUCAUUUCACCCCUCGAGCCGCUUUUAGUGGAUCGGUGUUGGGGCACUACGGUAAAACGUAGGCCCUGAAAUGAAGUGGCGGUCCCGCCGCGGUGCCCCCAUGCGUAGUAACGUUUAGUCUCGCAUCGGGUCCCGGCGGAGGCCUGCCGUCAAGCCUAUUUAUUCUCAGAAUAGUUUGACCUCGGAUCAGGUAGGGUUACCCGCUGAACUUAAGCAUAUCAAUAAGCGGAGGA
Molecule: unclassified non-coding RNA, 349 nt
Filed under: soil metagenome
Description: partial contains 5.8S ribosomal RNA, internal transcribed spacer 2, and large subunit ribosomal RNA
Rfam family: 5.8S ribosomal RNA (bases 1-120)
Source: RNAcentral